AUGUUGGCAAACGCAUUUCCUGUUCUUUUGUCCUAUUGUCCUGACCCUGAGAUCUCAAUCUUUGAGCUCUCUUCCAAUAAUUGGGAUCUGCAACUCCGUCGCUCUCUCUCUCUCUCUCCUAAAGAGUUGGUCGAUUGGCAGCGCCUUGUUGCCUUCUUCCCUGUGCUCUCGGAGGAAGAGGACUCGGUGGUGUGGCCUCAUUCUCCGUCUAGUCGUUUUUCGGUGAAAUCGUUGUAUGGUAAACUUACUACGGGUUCAACCACUUCCAAAUUCAAGUGGAUCUGGAGGGCCCAUAUCCCUCCUAAGAUCAAGAUCUUCCUCUGGCAAGCUUCUCGCGGGCGGCUACCGACUGGUGACCAGAUCUGCAAAUGUAAUUGGCCUGGGUCUGAUCGCUGCGCCAUUUGUGGGCUGAGAGAAGACACUAUGCAUGUUUUCUUCUCUUGUGUUCUGGCAAAAUUCUUCUGGUGCUGCAUCAGAUCUUGGUUGCAUGUCGCCUGGAGACCGACUUCCUUCUCAGAUCUUCGUCUCUUGGCUAACAAUCUGGUUGGGGCCCAGAGGAGAAUUUUCUGGGUGGGCUUUGCUGCGAUGUGCUGGCCUUUAUGGACGACUAGAAACAAAUUUACUAUUGAACAUGUUUUCCCUGCUAAGCCUGCUGACUGCUUAUUUAAAACUCGCGUGUUCUUGCAGCAGUGGAGAUUAUUGAUUAAGGAGGAGGAUAGGGAUGUGCUUGAUAUGAUGAUAUCCAAGAUCCGGGCUUCUGCUAUCUCCCUAUCUCCAGUUUGUGCCGACAGUUAG
RNAcentral lists this ribosomal RNA (795 nucleotides) under Triticum aestivum (bread wheat). RNAcentral describes it as "partial small subunit ribosomal RNA". The record is from RNAcentral. Lineage: Eukaryota; Viridiplantae; Streptophyta; Magnoliopsida; Poales; Poaceae.